This 479-nucleotide ribosomal RNA is filed under the name uncultured bacterium. RNAcentral's name for it is "bacterial SSU rRNA". It matches the Rfam family "Bacterial small subunit ribosomal RNA", at positions 35 to 507 of the family's 1533-position model. The record is from RNAcentral.
GACAGCUGGCGGCGUGCCUAACACAUGCAAGUCGAGCGGAGUUUUCAGAUUGAGACCUUCGGGAGGAUUUCUGAGAAACUUAGCGGCGGACGGGUGAGUAACGCGUGGGCAAUCUGCCUCUUACAGGGGGAUAACACAGGGAAACUUGUACUAAUACCGCAUGAGACCACAGAGUCGCAUGGCUUAGGGGUCAAAGAUUUAUUGCUGAGAGGUGGGCUCGCGUCCGAUUAGGUAGUUGGUGAGGUAACGGCCCACCAAGCCGACGAUCGAUAGCCGACCUGAGAGGGUGAUCGGCCACAUUGGGACUGAGACACGGCCCAAACUCCUACGGGAGGCAGCAGUGGGGAAUAUUGGGGCAAUGGGGGAAACCCUGACCCAGCAACGCCGCGUGGAGGAAGAAGGUUUUCGGAUCGUAAACUCCUGUCCUCAGGGAAGAGCAGAAGACGGUACCUGAGGAGGAAGCCCCGGCUAACUACGUG